This 318-nucleotide ribosomal RNA is filed under the name uncultured Bacillota bacterium. RNAcentral's name for it is "bacterial SSU rRNA". It matches the Rfam family "Bacterial small subunit ribosomal RNA", at positions 28 to 351 of the family's 1533-position model. Lineage: Bacteria; Bacillati; Bacillota. The record is from RNAcentral.
GACGAACGCUGGCGGCGUGCCUCAUACAUGCAAGUCGAGCGGACUGACUUCGGUCAGUUAGCGGCGGACGGGUGAGUAACACGUGGGUAACCUGCCCUAAAGACUGGGAUAACAUCCUGAAAGGGAUGCUAAUACCGGGUAAGGUCUUCUUGUCGCAUGGCAGGAAGAAGAGAGGCGAAAGCCGCUUUAGGAUGGACCCGCGUCCCAUUAGCUAGUUGGUAGGGUAAAGGCCUACCAAGGCGACGAUGGGUAGCCGACCUGAGAGGGUGACCGGCCACACUGGGACUGAGACACGGCCCAGACUCCUACGGGAGGCAG